Oncorhynchus keta (chum salmon) is the source of this 2968-nucleotide RNA transcript. RefSeq lists it as uncharacterized. The record is from RefSeq and is a predicted model, not a curated record. The transcript has 13 exons. NCBI's taxonomy places the organism in Eukaryota, Metazoa, Chordata, Actinopteri, Salmoniformes, Salmonidae.
UUAAAAAAUGAAAAGUUGUUCGGUGGACACGCCCACUAACGAUACUGCGUGUUAUUGUUUGCAUUCGGGUGUUUGUGAACUUUAUCUUGCUAUCUUAAUUACAUAAAAUAUGAACGUUAUCGAGUCACAUCAACGUUAGAAAAGGCCAUAAACUGUAUGCACCAAACUAUUUCGACUGUGGAAAGAAAAGCAUUGCCAUGGCUAACAAGCUAGCCAACUGGUUAGCUAACUUCAGUGAUUAAAAACAUGGUCUAUGAAAAGUACGACCACCAACAUGAUGGACAUGUUUGAGUAAGGGAAGUUCUGAAAAUCUGUGCUCCUAUGGUCCGGUAAUCAAAGUUGGCAUUCUGGUCACUGGUGAGGAAAUCUGACUGUGACAUUUGCUUCACUCCAAUGAUAGUUGCUCCUGACUGUAUGUGUUCUGUCAACGCCAGAAGAAGGGGAAUUUACAAACAAUGAAGCUGACCAUCCUCUGAUCGUGCAGUUUGCUGCCAGUGAUGCCCAGACCCUGGCUGAUGCAGCCUGUGUGGUCUCACCCUUCUCUGAUGGAGUGGACCUCAACUGUGGCUGUCCCCAGCGGUGGGCCAUGUCAGAUGGCUACGGAGCAUGCCUUCUCAACAAACCUGAGCCUGUCAAAGACAUGGUUUGACAUGUCAGGAACCAAGUAGACAAUCCUAACUACACAGCCUCCAUCAAAAUAAGAAUUCACAAGGACCUGUGAUGUACGGUGGACCUGUGUCAGAAGGCAGAGGUGGCAGGGGUGUCCUGGAUAACGGUCCAUGGUCGGACCGCCACCAGCGGUCCACUUUGACGCUAUCAAGACCAUCAAGGACAGCCUGCCAGUCCCUGUCAUCGUCAACUCACUUGAGUUGAUGGUCAGUGUGAUGGUAGGCCGGGGGCUGUUGUCCAACCCGGCCAUGUUCGCUGGCUACAAUAAGACCCCUCUUGAGUGUGUGUGGGACUGGGUGGACCUCGCCACAAACCAGGGGACCCCCUUCACCUGCUUCCACCAGCACCUCAUCUACAUGCUGGAGAGGGUCAGCUCCCAGCCCGAGAGGAAGGUGAUCAACUCCCUGCAAAUCAGCGCCGCACAAAAAAGGAUCGUAAAAACAACUGUCUCCAAAUUUAAGUUUGCCUUUCAUCCUCCAGUUUCUUUGUUCGGGUGCCGUAAAACUGUAUUGUUAGAGAUGACGUUGCAAUGGACUGCAGUUGCCCUCUUCCUCUAUGUGGAAAUAGGUGUACUCCUCAUCCUCUGUCUACCAUUCGUCUCAGCCACCAGAUGGCAGAGUAUCUUCCAGCUGAGAAUAUGGAACAAAAUGGCCAGGUUUUGGAAUAAAUUCUUCCUCGCCAUGAUCAUAAUCCUUAUAGUCCUCUUCCUCGAUGCUGUGCGUGAGGUGAGGAAGUAUUCGGGGGCGGGAAACAGCAAGGAUGCUAAUCUGCAUCCCAACAUGUUUGACAACCUCCACAUGAAGCUGUUCAGAGCCCAGAGGAACCUCUACAUCUCUGGCUUUUCCCUCUUUCUCUGGCUAGUGCUGAGGCGGGUGAUCACUCUGAUCAACCAGCUGGCGAUGGCGUCUAGCACCACAGCCUCUCUGCAGACCAAGGCAGAGAGUGAUAACCAAACUGCCAAGAAAUACAUGGAGGACAACGAGCUACUGAAGCAGACUCUGAUGGAUGGGAAGGGGAACAAGGCCACAGCAGAGGGAAACGAGCUGCUGAAAAAAGAGAUGGAGAAACUGAGAGGAGAACUGAAGGGCUCAGGGGAAGCCUUGAUAAAGUCCCAAUCCGAGAUGGAAGCUAUGAAGAAACAAUCCGAUGGACUGACCAAAGAAUACGACCGACUGCUGAAAGAACACCAGAAUCUUCAAGAGUGUGGAGACAAAAAGGAUGAUUGAUCGGGCUUAUGACUACAGCUGUCAGAACGUUUACAGAUUGUACCAAGAAACCAGAAAAAAAACACUGUCACGCACGCUAUCAUUUUCCUUUGACAUACUGAAGCACUCUGCAUGAUGUCACCAAAAUAAUCCUCCAAAGCACCACUGAGCUGGCAAACAUUAGAUAAAAAGCACCUGAGCACGUUUGUAAUAGAAUAGCUACUACACCAGCAUAGAAAUAUAUUUGCUGACUUUGAGAAUUUCAGUUGUGAAUGAAUGCCUGCCUGCAUGGCUGUACAAGCUUCAGAUUACAGUGGUCUUCUACUGUGAAUGUAUUUUUGAUGUAAUGGGCUUGCUAUGCUGUUUUAUCCCUGUAUAUGGCAAGAGUACCAUCGUUGCAUUCAUAUCCAUUUUGUUUCACCUUAGCAGUUAGGCAUAUUACAGAUUGAGUUGUAUGUGUUUUGUAAAACAAAAUUAGCAUUGAAUUAGUGGUAGAGAAGCUAUAUUGAGUUAUUUUUGUUAUUGAAUAUUUGAUAUCAAUGGUGAUGUUCUGUUUUUCAUUCCUCUUAGAUAUGAAGGGUUUGUGAAUAUUACACAGGGUCAUGAUUUUCUGUUUUGUAAUAAGGAUACUGAAACGGAAAAGUCUGAGCAAAUUCAUCAUUCCUCUUCUCACUCAGUCUCUGUAUUGACUGUCCCAGCCCAGGGGUUGGGUUGGGUAGACCAGGUCAGCACUUGGAGUGGGUAAUUGACCAACAAACUUCCUCCAGCCCCCAUCCCCUAAGUACUUAUCUCCUAUAGGGCCCCAGUACUGUAUAUCCCCCCUGUACUGUACUGACUGAAUUAGUGCCUUUCAGACCACUGUAGAGAUUUUCUCAUUGCGAGUACAAAAAUCUGCUUUGAGUAAGAAAGUGUUGCAAUAUUCCAGUAUUGCUCACUAUUAGUUGUUUUUGUUGCGAAAUACAUUUUUUUUGUUUGGAAAAAUUGUCUCCACAUACCAACAUGUUAUCCCAUAUUAAAAAUGUUUUACUGUUGUUUUACAAUUACAAGUUAUUCUCUGUUUUAAUCGAAGAAAUUAAACUAUUUUUUUAAGCGAG